UACGUAGGCAGCAAGCGUUGUUCGGAAUUACUGGGCGUAAAGAGUGUGUAGGCGUGUUCUAAGUUUGUCGUGAAAUCUCCCGGCUUAACUGGGAGGGUGCGGCGAAAACUGGAAUGCUAGAGGAUGGGAGAGGUAAGCGGAAUUCCUGGUGUAGCGGUGAAAUGCGCAGAUAUCAGGAGGAACACCGAUGGCGAAGGCAGGUCUCUGGGCCGAUACUGACGCUGAGGAGCGAAAGCGUGGGGAGCGAACAGGAAUUAGA
RNAcentral lists this ribosomal RNA (259 nucleotides) under uncultured bacterium. RNAcentral describes it as "partial 16S ribosomal RNA". It matches the Rfam family "Bacterial small subunit ribosomal RNA", at positions 524 to 782 of the family's 1533-position model. The record is from RNAcentral.